UAAAUUUAUUAAAAUAAAAUAAUCUUUUUAAUAAAUCAUUUAUUAAUUUUUUUAAUUUAAAAUAAUUAUCAAUUAAUUAAACAAAAAAAAUUAAAAGGACGAAGAAAAUAGAUGGGGUUGGCACCUCAGCGACUUAUUAUAAUAUGUUUGAGUGCUUUAUUCUAAAAUAAAAUUAAAAUAGAAUAAUUUUAUUGAAAUAAAUUUAAAAUUAAAUGCUAGAAACGAGACAUUCAAAGUUCUGUAAUUAUGGAUAAAAAUUAUCUAAAUUUAUUGUAUUCCCUUAUAAUAAAUUUUAUUUUAAAAAAACCGCUAAUUUACAUAAAUCCUUGAUUCAGGUUGCAGAUUUUUCACUUUCAAAUUUUUUGCCGGACAGUGGUAAUGUUGGCCACAUCACCAGUAUAUUCAGGGGAACUAAUGUUUAUGCAGAUACAGAAUUUGGUGAUAAACAAAAAGUUUCGUAUGCAUUGGAUGUUUAUGCUUUUGGUGUUAUACUUUUAGAAUUGAUUUCUGGAAGAAAGCCUACACAAAACAAUAUUACAAUUAUUGAAUGGGCUAAAAGCAGAAUUGGACGAGUUUUGAACGAUAAUGACUGUAGAAGUAUUGUUGAUCCCAAUUUGAAAGAGUAUAAUAUAGAAGAAAUGAUGAGAAUGGUUUACUGUGCUGCUGCUUCCGUAUAUAAACUUUCAUCCUUUAGACCAAAAA
Molecule: long non-coding RNA, 702 nt
Organism: Manihot esculenta (cassava)
Lineage: Eukaryota; Viridiplantae; Streptophyta; Magnoliopsida; Malpighiales; Euphorbiaceae
Exons: 3
Source: RefSeq, a predicted model, not a curated record